AUGUCGUGCGCGCAAAGAGCACGGUGGUCGCGGAGACGAGGAGGCCGCAGAGGACUUGCGUGGUGGUGCAGAGGUCGCGGCGGCUCGGCGCGACAACCGUGGAGGCGCGUGGCACGGAGCCGCGGCGGCCGCGGCGGACCUGCGUGGUGGCGCAGAGACUGCGGUGGCGCGGCGUGGCGGCAUGGAGGUGCAAACGCAGCGGUGCAGGGCAAUAAGCCGCGGCGGCGAGCCGGGCGCGACCGGUGCGUGUUAUGGGUGCGCACUGGACGCGUCGGGCGCGUCAGGACCGCGGGCGCACGUACGAGCGUGCGGUUGACGUUGGGAGGAGGCGCAUGUCGCCGUUCUGCUCGAGUCCGUGCUCGAGUUCGGCUACAUCAUUCCGCCGUUUGUAGCUGGCGGCUGCCAUGGCGGACGCGAAGGCGGCGUGCGGUGAGUCCAUGGCGUGUGGUGUGGUCGGGCGCGUCGGGUGCACGCGGGACGUGCGGGACGCACUGGUGCGGUUGGGCUCGUCGGGCGCGUCGGGUGUGCGCGGGACGUGCAGGGCGCAGAGGAACGCCUGACGUGUGUCGUCGGUGGAGAAGGAGCUCGGCAUGUGUUGCCGGAGUCGUGACGGAGCACGGUGCGACCGGCAUCGGUGCGCCAGGUAACGACGACAACUACGCGAGCUACAUCAACGCCGGCGACGGCGAGCACAUGGCAUGUCGCAGCGGUGCGUGGAGACGUCGACGCCCAGCCGUGUCAAGAUUAGAAGGGAAAUUGUAA
Molecule: ribosomal RNA, 762 nt
Filed under: Triticum aestivum (bread wheat)
Lineage: Eukaryota; Viridiplantae; Streptophyta; Magnoliopsida; Poales; Poaceae
Description: partial small subunit ribosomal RNA
Source: RNAcentral